RNAcentral lists this ribosomal RNA (433 nucleotides) under uncultured bacterium. RNAcentral describes it as "partial 16S ribosomal RNA". It matches the Rfam family "Bacterial small subunit ribosomal RNA", at positions 29 to 507 of the family's 1533-position model. The record is from RNAcentral.
AACGAACGCUGGCGGCAGGCCUAACACAUGCAAGUCGAGCGCGCCCUUCGGGGUGAGCGGCGGACGGGUGAGUAACGCGUGGGAACGUGCCCUUUUCUACGGAAUCGCCUCGGGAAACUGAGAGUAAUACCGUAUACGCCCUUUGGGGGAAAGAUUUAUCGGAAAAGGAUCGGCCCGCGUUGGAUUAGGUAGUUGGUGGGGUAAUGGCCGACCAAGCCGACGAUCCAUAGCUGGUUUGAGAGGAUGAUCAGCCACACUGGGACUGAGACACGGCCCAGACUCCUACGGGAGGCAGCAGUGGGGAAUCUUAGACAAGGGAGGCAACCCUGAUCUAGCCAUGCCGCGUGAGAGAGGAAGGCCUUAGGGUUGUAAAGCUCUUUCAGCUGGGAAGAUAAUGACGGUACCAGCAGAAGAAGCCCCGGCUAACUCCGCG